CUUGGGUCAUUUAGAGGAAGUAAAAGUCGUAACAAGGUUUCCGUAGGUGAACCUGCGGAAGGAUCAUUAAAGAAUUGCCCCAUUUUUUGAAAUGGGUUCUAUUCCCAAACCGUGUAUACAUACCUUUGUUGCUUUGGCAAGCCGUCCUUCGGGCGCAGCUUCGGCUGAGAGCGCUUGCCAGAGGACCCCAACUCUUUUGUUUAGUGAUGUCUGAGUACUAUAUAAUAGUUAAAACUUUCAACAACGGAUCUCUUGGUUCUGGCAUCGAUGAAGAACGCAGCGAAAUGCGAUAAGUAAUGUGAAUUGCAGAAUUCAGUGAAUCAUCGAAUCUUCGAACGCACAUUGCGCCCCUUGGUAUUCCGAGGGGCAUGCCUGUUCGAGCGUCAUUAUGACCACUCAAGCCUAGCUUGGUAUUGGGGUUCGCGGUCUCGCGGCUCUUGAAAUCAGUGGCGGUGCCAUCUGGCUCUAAGCGUAGUAAUUCUCUCGCUAUAGGGCUCCGGUAGUUGCUUGCCAAAACCCCCCUAUUUCUCACGGUUGACCUCGGAUCAGGUAGGGAUACCCGCUGAACUUAAGCAUAUCAAUAAGCGGAGGA
This 592-nucleotide ribosomal RNA is filed under the name uncultured Rhizoscyphus. RNAcentral's name for it is "eukaryotic LSU rRNA". The stretch from base 233 to 386 matches the Rfam family "5.8S ribosomal RNA". The record is from RNAcentral. Lineage: Eukaryota; Fungi; Ascomycota; Leotiomycetes; Helotiales; Helotiaceae.